AUGCAGCAGGUGGUGAGUUUUAGUUCUUGAUGUUUUGGAAGAUCGAUCGUUUGUGAAGUCUGCUUCUCGACAGGUUUCCCGGAGCUUGAGGUUAAAGACAUUUCCUUUGUCGUGUUUGAAAUCCGUUUAAAUUGUGCCGCAUGCAGACGUGUUAGAAACUCAAAGAAUGCACAAAGUCUUCGUUUUCAAACUGUUCAUGUGUUGUGAGAGAGACCCGCUCACUACAGCUCCUUGUGUUGCAGAGACCGCGGAGUUAAAGCUGUUCAUCAUCGUUGGGAGAUCAUUUCACAAGUCUUCACGCGACGUGGAAGUCUUUGUAGACGAUGGUGUCUGUGUUGGUUCGUCUGCUCUUGGCGGUCCUCCUGACUGAGACGUGUGUCUCACUCUCAUAUUCAGAGGGGGAGCAGGUGGAGCUGGG
Long non-coding RNA from Cottoperca gobio, 418 nucleotides. RefSeq lists it as uncharacterized. The transcript has 3 exons. NCBI's taxonomy places the organism in Eukaryota, Metazoa, Chordata, Actinopteri, Perciformes, Bovichtidae. The record is from RefSeq and is a predicted model, not a curated record.